This 767-nucleotide ribosomal RNA is filed under the name uncultured Bacteriovorax sp. RNAcentral describes it as "bacterial SSU rRNA". It matches the Rfam family "Bacterial small subunit ribosomal RNA", at positions 666 to 1433 of the family's 1533-position model. The record is from RNAcentral. Lineage: Bacteria; Pseudomonadati; Bdellovibrionota; Bacteriovoracia; Bacteriovoracales; Bacteriovoracaceae.
AUUUCGCAUGUAGGGGUAAAAUCCGUAGAGAUGCGAAGGAACACCAGAGCCGAAGGGGCUUCUCUGGGCAUACACUGACGCUGAGGCGCGGAAGCGUGGGUAGCAAACAGGAUUAGAUACCCUGGUAGUCCACGCCGUAAACGAUGAGUACUAGAUUUUGGGGCCUUUGACCGCUUCAGAGUCGCAGCUAACGCAUUAAGUACUCCGCCUGGGAAGUACGGUCGCAAGACUAAAACUCAAAGGGAUUGACGGGGGCCCGCACAAGCGGUGGAUUAUGUGGUUUAAUUCGAAGCAACGCGCAGAACCUUACCUGGGCUUGAAAUCCCGAGAAGAUCGGCCAAAACUGAUUGUGCUCUUCGGAGAACUCGGUGACAGGCGCUGCAUGGCUGUCGUCAGCUCGUGUCGUGAGAUGUUGGGUUAAGUCUCGCAACGAGCGCAACCCCUAUCCUUAGUUGCCAGCAUUAAGUUGGCACUCUAGGGAGACUGCCUGGUUAACCAGGAGGAAGGUGGGGAUGACGUCAAGUCCUCAUGGUCCUUAUGUCCAGGGCUACACACGUAAUACAAUGGUGCAUACAAAGGGACGCGACCCCGCGAGGGUGAGCAAAUCUCAAAAAGUGCAUCUCAGUCCGGAUUGGAGUCUGCAACUCGACUCCAUGAAGUUGGAAUCGCUAGUAAUCGCGGAUCAGCACGCCGCGGUGAAUACGUUCCCGGGCCUUGUACACACCGCCCGUCACACCAUGGGAGUUGAUCUUACCUGAAGCCGUGGC